RNAcentral lists this ribosomal RNA (473 nucleotides) under uncultured bacterium. Its description in RNAcentral is "bacterial SSU rRNA". It matches the Rfam family "Bacterial small subunit ribosomal RNA", at positions 19 to 518 of the family's 1533-position model. The record is from RNAcentral.
CUGGCUCAGGAUAACGCUGGCGGCAUGCCUAAUACAUGCAAGUCGAAUGGGGAGCUUGCUUCCCAUGGCGAACGGGUGAGUAAUACGUAGGUAACCUACCUUUAGGACGAGGAUAACCUUUGGAAACGAAGGAUAAUACUGGAUAGUAUAGAUUUCCGCAUGGAGAUAUAUUUAAAGAUUUAUCACCUAGAGAGGGGCCUGCGGUGCAUUAGCUAGUUGGCGGGAUAAAGCCCACCAAGGCGAUGAUGCAUAGCCGGACUGAGAGGUUGUACGGCCACAAUGGAACUGAGAACGGUCCAUACUCCUACGGGAGGCAGCAGUAGGGAAUUUUCGGCAAUGGGCGGAAGCCUGACCGAGCAAAUGCCGCGUGAAUGAUGAAGUAUUUCGGUAUGUAAAGUUCUUUUAUCUAGGAAGAAAAACAAAUUGACGGUACUAGAUGAAUAAGCUCCGGCUAACUACGUGCCAGCAGCCGC